Molecule: long non-coding RNA, 454 nt
Organism: Ictalurus punctatus (channel catfish)
Lineage: Eukaryota; Metazoa; Chordata; Actinopteri; Siluriformes; Ictaluridae
Source: Ensembl
AACACGAGUAUAAAAGAACACGAGUAGAGACGAUAAAAGAACACGAGUAGAGACGAUAAAAGAACACGAGUAGAGGAUAAAAGAACACGAGUAGAGGAUAAAAGAACACGAGUAGAGGAUAAAAGAACACGAGUAGACGAUAAAAGAACACGAGUAGAGGAUAAAAGAACACGAGUAGAGGAUAAAAGAACACGAGUAGAGGAUAAAAGAACACGAGUAGAGAACACGAUAAAAGAACACGAGUAGAGGAUAAAAGAACACGAGUAGAGGAUAAAAGAACACGAGUAGAGGAUAAAAGAACACGAGUAGAGACGAGGAUAAAAGAACACGAGUAGAGACGAUAAAAGAACACGAGUAGACGAUAAAAGAACACGAGUAGACGAUAGUAGAGGAUAAAAGAACACGAGUAGAGGAUAAAAGAACACGAGUAGAGGAUAAAAGAACACGAGUAGAG